CACACAAGUACAUUGAUGAGAUGGACUCUUAUCCCGCUGAUGGAAACCUCUACUUCUUCACAUUACAAUCUAACAUGACGUUGUUCUUUAACUCAAGAAUCAUAAUCUCUCAACCUCCAAGAAGCCCCAGAUUGAGCAGUUCCCAUGCAUUUUUCCAGUUUACUCUUCCACUAGUGCUCAACUUUCUGGGACUGAAGUAUCAAGCGAGGGAAACAAACCCAUUUGAAGCUCAUCCCAACAUCAUGUUCUUAGCUUCCACAAUCUUCUUUUCGUUCUCAACAUUGCCGUACCCGUUGACAGUGCUAUUUCAGCGACUUAUGGAUGAAUUCGCUCGGUUUAAUCAUGGACGAAGAUGCAGAAGAAGGGAUAUUAUCCAUCUACUGUUGAGUUGGAUACCCCAUGGCACCUGUUCCCACCAGCCCAAUAUGCUGCCUCUGUAAGUCUUAACUACUUAGGAAUGCGGUCCUGUUUGUGUGACGAACCGAAUUCCCAGCGUGUUUUUAUGCGUUCUUUUCAGCUCACCACGUCUUCAUAUUAAGGCAAUGGUAUUAUGAUCAGGGCCCAGAACAAAGUUAUAAUCUCUGUUCUUAUUGUUGUUCUAGACUUGCCUACAGAGACCAGAGAUAUAUUGUAAUGAUAUCUUUUAUCCUGAAUAAUUUGGCAGCACGAAGAUUGUUAUAAUCAAA
Molecule: non-coding RNA, 686 nt
Organism: Coffea arabica (coffee)
Lineage: Eukaryota; Viridiplantae; Streptophyta; Magnoliopsida; Gentianales; Rubiaceae
Source: RefSeq, a predicted model, not a curated record